CCUACGGGUGGCAGCAGUGAGGAAUAUUGGUCAAUGGCCGGAAGGCUGAACCAGCCAUGCCGCGUGAAGGUCAGUGCCCUAUGGGCGUUAAACUUCUUUUGUGCGGGAGCAAUAAUGGUCACGUGUGGCCAGACGAGAGUACCGUACGAAUAAGCAUCGGCUAACUCCGUGCCAGCAGCCGCGGUAAUACGGGGGAUGCAAGCGUUAUCCGGAUUUAUUGGGUUUAAAGGGUGCGUAGGCUGUGAGGUAAGUCAGCGGGGAAAUGGCCCCGCUCAACGGGGUGAAGUGCCAUUGAUACUGCCUGGCUGGGAUGCGGAUGCGGUGGGAGGAAUGUGUGGUGUAGCGGUGAAAUGCAUAGAUAUCACACAGAACACCGAUUGCGAAGGCAUCUCACGAAUCCGCGAUUGACGCUGAUGCACGAAAGCGUGGGUAUCAAACAGGAUUAGAUACCCCUGUAGUC
RNAcentral lists this ribosomal RNA (460 nucleotides) under uncultured bacterium. RNAcentral describes it as "partial 16S ribosomal RNA". It matches the Rfam family "Bacterial small subunit ribosomal RNA", at positions 338 to 795 of the family's 1533-position model. The record is from RNAcentral.